UUUAUUGAGAGUUUGAUCCUGGCUCAGGACGAACGCUGGCGGCGUGCUUAACACAUGCAAGUCGAACGAGAAUCUACUGAAAGAGUUUUCGGACAAUGGAUGUAGAGGAAAGUGGCGGACGGGUGAGUAACGCGUGAGGAACCUGCCUUGAAGAGGGGGACAACAGUUGGAAACGACUGCUAAUACCGCAU
This 191-nucleotide ribosomal RNA is filed under the name Oscillospiraceae bacterium. Its description in RNAcentral is "partial 16S ribosomal RNA". It matches the Rfam family "Bacterial small subunit ribosomal RNA", at positions 1 to 174 of the family's 1533-position model. Lineage: Bacteria; Bacillati; Bacillota; Clostridia; Eubacteriales; Oscillospiraceae. The record is from RNAcentral.